UCGGAUUGCAGCCUGCAACUCGGCUGCAUGAAGCUGGAAUCGCUAGUAAUCGCGGAUCAGAAUGCCGCGGUGAAUACGUUCCCGGGUCUUGUACACACCGCCCGUCACACCAUGGGAGUCGGAAAUGCCCGAAGUCAGUGACCCAACCGCAAGGAGGGAGCUGCCGAAGGUGGAGCCGGUAACUGGGGUGAAGUCGUAACAAGGUACC
RNAcentral lists this ribosomal RNA (208 nucleotides) under uncultured bacterium. RNAcentral's name for it is "partial 16S ribosomal RNA". It matches the Rfam family "Bacterial small subunit ribosomal RNA", at positions 1293 to 1500 of the family's 1533-position model. The record is from RNAcentral.